GAUGAAGAACGUAGCGAAAUGCGAUAACUAAUGUGAAUUGCAGAAUUCAGUGAAUCAUCGAGUCUUUGAACGCACAUUGCGCCCCCUGGUAUUCCGGGGGGCAUGCCUGUCCGAGUGUCAUUGCUGCCCUCAAGCACGGCUUGUGUGUUGGGCUCCGUCCCCCCGGGGACGGGCCCGAAAGGCAGCGGCGGCACCGAGUCCGGUCCUCGAGCGUAUGGGGCUUUGUCACCCGCUCUGUAGGCCCGGCCGGCGCCAGCCGACAACCCAUCAUCCUUUUCAGGUUGACCUCGGAUCAGGUAGGGAUACCCGCUGAACUUAAGCAUAUCAAUAAGCGGAGGA
RNAcentral lists this unclassified non-coding RNA (339 nucleotides) under soil metagenome. RNAcentral describes it as "partial contains 5.8S ribosomal RNA, internal transcribed spacer 2, and large subunit ribosomal RNA". The stretch from base 1 to 120 matches the Rfam family "5.8S ribosomal RNA", at positions 35 to 154 of the family's 154-position model. The record is from RNAcentral.